This 1125-nucleotide long non-coding RNA is filed under the name Chrysemys picta bellii (western painted turtle). Its description in RNAcentral is "lncRNA (ENSCPBG00000015292.1)". Lineage: Eukaryota; Metazoa; Chordata; Testudines; Emydidae. The record is from RNAcentral.
AUGGCGGGCAAGCACCAGAGUGAGGCAGGGGUGCCCAGGGAAAGGGAAGAGGAACAGGCUGAGUUUCAUACACUUGUCCAGGAGUUCCUGAACUACUUCUUGGGGGCCCACGUGUACCCCGAGCAAAGGGAACACCAGAGAAGGGAGGGGGAGCGCCGGCUGGUGCAAGCGCUGGUCGGCAGGAUCAUGGCUCAGGUGCACGAGUGCAACGUGGAGAUGUUCACUGGAAAAGCCAUCCUGGUGGGCAGCCAAGCCCAGCACCUCCACGUCCGGACAGAGUCCAGCAGCAGCGACUACGACUUCCUGGUCCCCAUCCAGUACAACACGAACCUGAUCCUUAUGGGCAGCCUGUACAGCAAACUCUACACCCCGAAAAGUCAUCUGCCCGCCUGGGAGAGCAUGGAGCCCGGGGUGCCGGUGUACCGCUGGGGGAACAAGGUGGUGGUGGAUUAUAACAAGCUGAUAAUGAGAGAUCUCUUGGAGAAGAAGACGGUGGACAUUGACCUCACAGAGGAAGACAUAAAAACAAUAAAUGACCGGCAGCUACGGCUUUGGAAGAAUAGCGUUAGUCCAUAUAGUGUAAUGACAGAAUUGUGGGAGUGUGUCCAGAAAGCUCUGACUGAAGAGCAAAGAAACCCUGCUCCUGGAAUUAGUAACAUUAGACUGGAGAACACUGUGGGUAUUACACCAAUUAGUCCAGCCGUGCAGCUCAGUGCAGUGGUGAACGGCCAAGCUGUGUCUAUAGACCUGGUGCCCACCAUCCGGAAUAAAGUGGACAUGUCCAUGGAUUGGCCGCAGCAGGAUCUGAGGUGGCUCUCCGACUGGUGGGACCGGGAGCAGGGCACUGAGCAGAGAAAACCCACCUGGAAUACCGAGGAAAUUUACAAAACUGGGACCGAUCUGGUGGCCAAGAAUUCGUACUGGAGGCUCACCUUCUCCCUGGCGGAGACCCAGUUCCUCAAGGACAUUGACGCCGAUGGUGGGUGCAGGCAGAAGGCGCUGCGGGUGCUGAAGCAAAUCAACAUGGAGAAGUGGGUACCGCACUACGGCAAAGUCCUGACCUCCUACCACCUGAAGGUAACUCAGACGGGGGAGCCAGGGUGGGAGGGGGUGGAGAAUGGGUGA